Molecule: ribosomal RNA, 731 nt
Filed under: uncultured bacterium
Lineage: Bacteria
Description: bacterial SSU rRNA
Rfam family: Bacterial small subunit ribosomal RNA
Source: RNAcentral
AACAGGAUUAGAUACCCUGGUAGUCCAUGCCGUAAACGAUGAGUGCCAGGUGUUGGAGGGUUUCCGCCCUUCAGUGCCGGAGCUAACGCAUUAAGCACUCCGCCUGGGGAGUACGACCGCAAGGUUGAAACUCAAAGGAAUUGACGGGGGCCCGCACAAGCGGUGGAGCAUGUGGUUUAAUUCGAAGCUACGCGAAGAACCUUACCAGGUCUUGACAUCUUGCGCCAACCCUAGAGAUAGGGCGUUUCCUUCGGGAACGCAAUGACAGGUGGUGCAUGGUCGUCGUCAGCUCGUGUCGUGAGAUGUUGGGUUAAGUCCCGCAACGAGCGCAACCCUUGUUACUAGUUGCCAGCAUUAAGUUGGGCACUCUAGUGAGACUGCCGGUGACAAACCGGAGGAAGGUGGGGACGACGUCAGAUCAUCAUGCCCCUUAUGACCUGGGCUACACACGUGCUACAAUGGACGGUACAACGAGUCGCGAACUCGCGAGGGCAAGCAAAUCUCUUAAAACCGUUCUCAGUUCGGACUGCAGGCUGCAACUCGCCUGCACGAAGUCGGAAUCGCUAGUAAUCGCGGAUCAGCAUGCCGCGGUGAAUACGUUCCCGGGCCUUGUACACACCGCCCGUCACACCAUGAGAGUUUGUAACACCCAAAGUCGGUGGGGUAACCUUUUAGGAGCCAGCCGCCUAAGGUGGGACAGAUGAUUAGGGUGAAGUCGUAACAAGGUAACC